RNAcentral lists this ribosomal RNA (308 nucleotides) under uncultured bacterium. Its description in RNAcentral is "partial 16S ribosomal RNA". It matches the Rfam family "Bacterial small subunit ribosomal RNA", at positions 505 to 809 of the family's 1533-position model. The record is from RNAcentral.
GAGACAGCAGUCGCCGCGGUAAUACGUAGGUGGCAAGCGUUGUCCGGAAUUAUUGGGCGUAAAGGGCUCGCAGGCGGUUUCUUAAGUCUGAUGCGAAAGCCCCCGGCUCAACCGGGGAGGGUCAUUGGAAACAGGGAAACUUGAGUGCAGAAGAGGAGAGUGGAAUUCCACGUGUAGCGGUGGAAUGCGUAGAGAUGUGGAGGAACACCAGUGGCGAAGGCGACUCUCUGGUCUGUAACUGACGCUGAGGAGCGAAAGCGUGGGGAGCGAACAGGAUUAGAUACCCCAGUAGUCCCUGUCUCUUAUAA